UUUGCUGAGGAUACGGUUAACGGAGCGAAAGCGACGUUCAACCGCAAAAGAAGCAGAGGGGGCUUAGUGGUGGGGUGACUGCGUACCUUUUGUAUAAUGGGUCAGCGACUUAUAUUCUGUAGCAAGGUUAACCGAAUAGGGGAGCCGGAGGGAAACCGAGUCUUAAUUGGGCGUUAAGUUGCAGGGUAUAGACCCGAAACCCGGUGAUCUAGCCAUGGGCAGGUUGAAGGUUGGGUAACACUAACUGGAGGACCGAACCGACUAAUGUUGAAAAAUUAGCGGAUGACCUGUGGCUGGGGGUGAAAGGCCAAUCAAACCGGGAGAUAGCUGGUUCUCCCCGAAAGCUAUUUAGGUAGCGCCUCGUGAAUUCAUCUCCGGGGGUAGAGCACUGUUUCGGCUAGGGGGCCAUCCCGGCUUACCAACCCGAUGCAAACUGCGAAUACCGGAGAAUGUUAUCACGGGAGACACACGGCGGGUGCUAACGUCCGUCGUGAAGAGGGAAACAACCCAGACCGCCAGCUAAGGUCCCAAAGUCAUGGUUAAGUGGGAAACGAUGUGGGAAGGCCCAGACAGCCAGGAUGUUGGCUUAGAAGCAGCCAUCAUUUAAAGAAAGCGUAAUAGCUCACUGGUCGAGUCGGCCUGCGCGGAAGAUGUAACGGGGCUAAACCAUGCACCGAAGCUGCGGCAGCGACACUCAGGUGUUGUUGGGUAGGGGAGCGUUCUGUAAGCCUGCGAAGGUGGCCUGUGAGGGUUGCUGGAGGUAUCAGAAGUGCGAAUGCUGACAUAAGUAACGAUAAAGCGGGUGAAAAGCCCGCUCGCCGGAAGACCAAGGGUUCCUGUCCAACGUUAAUCGGGGCAGGGUGAGUCGACCCCUAAGGCGAGGCCGAAAGGCGUAGUCGAUGGGAAACGGGUUAAUAUUCCCGUACUUGGUGUUACUGCGAAGGGGGGACGGAGAAGGCUAUGUUGGCCGGGCGACGGUUGUCCCGGUUUAAGCGUGUAGGCUGGUUUUCCAGGCAAAUCCGGAAAAUCAAGGCUGAGGCGUGACGACGAGGCACUACGGUGCUGAAGCAACAAAUGCCCUGCUUCCAGGAAAAGCCUCUAAGCAUCAGGUAACACGAAAUCGUACCCCAAACCGACACAGGUGGUCAGGUAGAGAAUACCAAGGCGCUUGAGAGAACUCGGGUGAAGGAACUAGGCAAAAUGGUGCCGUAACUUCGGGAGAAGGCACGCUGACAUGUAGGUGAAGUGAUUUACUCAUGGAGCUGAAGUCAGUCGAAGAUACCAGCUGGCUGCAACUGUUUAUUAAAAACACAGCACUGUGCAAACACGAAAGUGGACGUAUACGGUGUGACGCCUGCCCGGUGCCGGAAGGUUAAUUGAUGGGGUCAGCGCAAGCGAAGCUCCUGAUCGAAGCCCCGGUAAACGGCGGCCGUAACUAUAACGGUCCUAAGGUAGCGAAAUUCCUUGUCGGGUAAGUUCCGACCUGCACGAAUGGCGUAAUGAUGGCCAGGCUGUCUCCACCCGAGACUCAGUGAAAUUGAACUCGCUGUGAAGAUGCAGUGUACCCGCGGCAAGACGGAAAGACCCCGUGAACCUUUACUAUAGCUUGACACUGAACAUUGAGCCUUGAUGUGUAGGAUAGGUGGGAGGCUUUGAAGUGUGGACGCCAGUCUGCAUGGAGCCGACCUUGAAAUACCACCCUUUAAUGUUUGAUGUUCUAACGUGGACCCGUGAUCCGGGUUGCGGACAGUGUCUGGUGGGUAGUUUGACUGGGGCGGUCUCCUCCUAAAGAGUAACGGAGGAGCACGAAGGUUGGCUAAUCCUGGUCGGACAUCAGGAGGUUAGUGCAAUGGCAUAAGCCAGCUUGACUGCGAGCGUGACGGCGCGAGCAGGUGCGAAAGCAGGUCAUAGUGAUCCGGUGGUUCUGAAUGGAAGGGCCAUCGCUCAACGGAUAAAAGGUACUCCGGGGAUAACAGGCUGAUACCGCCCAAGAGUUCAUAUCGACGGCGGUGUUUGGCACCUCGAUGUCGGCUCAUCACAUCCUGGGGCUGAAGUAGGUCCCAAGGGUAUGGCUGUUCGCCAUUUAAAGUGGUACGCGAGCUGGGUUUAGAACGUCGUGAGACAGUUCGGUCCCUAUCUGCCGUGGGCGCUGGAGAACUGAGGGGGGCUGCUCCUAGUACGAGAGGACCGGAGUGGACGCAUCACUGGUGUUCGGGUUGUCAUGCCAAUGGCACUGCCCGGUAGCUAAAUGCGGAAGAGAUAAGUGCUGAAAGCAUCUAAGCACGAAACUUGCCCCGAGAUGAGUUCUCCCUGAGACUUUAGGUCUCCUGAAGGAACGUUGAAGACGACGACGUUGAUAGGCCGGGUGUGUAAGCGCAGCGAUGCGUUGAGCUAACCGGUACUAAUGAACCGUGAGGCUUAACCUUACA
RNAcentral lists this ribosomal RNA (2429 nucleotides) under Salmonella enterica. Its description in RNAcentral is "partial 23S ribosomal RNA". It matches the Rfam family "Bacterial large subunit ribosomal RNA". The record is from RNAcentral. Lineage: Bacteria; Pseudomonadati; Pseudomonadota; Gammaproteobacteria; Enterobacterales; Enterobacteriaceae.